This 215-nucleotide unclassified non-coding RNA is filed under the name Pyrenochaetopsis sp. RNAcentral describes it as "partial internal transcribed spacer region". The stretch from base 1 to 46 matches the Rfam family "Eukaryotic small subunit ribosomal RNA", at positions 1786 to 1831 of the family's 1831-position model. The record is from RNAcentral. Lineage: Eukaryota; Fungi; Ascomycota; Dothideomycetes; Pleosporales; Pyrenochaetopsidaceae.
AAGUCGUAACAAGGUUUCCGUAGGUGAACCUGCGGAAGGAUCAUUAUCGACACAGCGGGCUCCGGCCCUUGCUGCACCCUUGUCUUUUGCGUACCGUAUCGUUUCCUCGGCGGGCUUGCCUGCCGGUUGGACACUAUCAAACCUUUUUGUAGUUGCAAUCAGCGUCAGAAAAAUUAUAAUUAUUACAACUUUCAACAACGGAUCUCUUGGUUCUG